RNAcentral lists this ribosomal RNA (252 nucleotides) under uncultured bacterium. RNAcentral describes it as "partial 16S ribosomal RNA". It matches the Rfam family "Bacterial small subunit ribosomal RNA", at positions 524 to 776 of the family's 1533-position model. The record is from RNAcentral.
UACAGAGGGGGCAAGCGUUGUUCGGAAUUACUGGGCGUAAAGGGCGCGUAGGCGGCCUGCUAAGUCGAACGUGAAAGCCCCGGGCUCAACCUGGGAAUUGCAUUCGAGACUGAAUAGCUAGGGUGCGGUAGAGGGAAGCGGAAUUUCCGGUGUAGCGGUGAAAUGCGUAGAUAUCGGAAGGAACAUCAGUGGCGAAAGCGGCUUCCUGGACCAGCACCGACGUUCAGGCACGAAAGCGUGGGAGCAAACAGG